UACGUAGGGGGCAAGCGUUGUCCGGAAUUAUUGGGCGUAAAGAGCGUGUAGGCGGCCAGAUAAGUCCGCUGUGAAAUCUCGAGGCUCAACUUCGAGCUGUCGGUGGAAACUAUCUGGCUAGAGUCCGGAAGAGGAGAAUGGAAUUCCUGGUGUAGCGGUGGAAUGCGCAGAUAUCAGGAGGAACACCAAUAGCGAAGGCAGCUCGCUGGGACGGUACUGACGCUGAGGCGCGAAAGCGUGGGGAGCGAACAGG
This 253-nucleotide ribosomal RNA is filed under the name uncultured bacterium. Its description in RNAcentral is "partial 16S ribosomal RNA". It matches the Rfam family "Bacterial small subunit ribosomal RNA", at positions 524 to 776 of the family's 1533-position model. The record is from RNAcentral.